This 253-nucleotide ribosomal RNA is filed under the name uncultured bacterium. Its description in RNAcentral is "partial 16S ribosomal RNA". It matches the Rfam family "Bacterial small subunit ribosomal RNA", at positions 524 to 776 of the family's 1533-position model. The record is from RNAcentral.
UACGUAGGGGGCAAGCGUUGUCCGGAAUCAUUGGGCGUAAAGCGCGUGUAGGCGGCCCGAUAAGUCCGCUGUGAAAGUCCAGGGCUCAACCCUGGGAUGCCGGUGGAUACUGUCGGGCUCGAGUCCGGAAGAGGAGUGUGGAAUUCCUGGUGUAGCGGUGAAAUGCGCAGAUAUCAGGAGGAACACCGGUGGCGAAGGCGGUUCUCUGGGCCUUACCUGACGCUGAGGAGCGAAAGCGUGGGGAGCGAACAGG